Molecule: microRNA precursor, 45 nt
Organism: Vombatus ursinus (common wombat)
Lineage: Eukaryota; Metazoa; Chordata; Mammalia; Diprotodontia; Vombatidae
Source: Ensembl
AGAGAGAGACACAGACAAAACGUUUUGUUUUCUGUUAUGUGAAAC